CAGCCGCCGCGGUAAUGCGAAGGUCCCGAGCGUUGUUCGGAAUCACUGGGCGUAAAGGGAGCGUAGGCGGCGUGGUAAGUCAGAUGUGAAAUCCCGGGGCUCAACCCCGGAACUGCAUCCGAUACUGCCAUGCUAGAGUAUGGCAGAGGGGGGUGGAAUUCCACGUGUAGCAGUGAAAUGCGUAGAGAUGUGGAGGAACACCGAUGGCGAAGGCAGCCCCCUGGGCCAAUACUGACGCUCAUGCACGAAAGCGUGGGGAGCAAACAGGAUUAGAUACCCGCGUAGUCCCUGUCUCUUAUAA
RNAcentral lists this ribosomal RNA (301 nucleotides) under uncultured bacterium. Its description in RNAcentral is "partial 16S ribosomal RNA". It matches the Rfam family "Bacterial small subunit ribosomal RNA", at positions 509 to 809 of the family's 1533-position model. The record is from RNAcentral.